GCGUGUGCUGGCCCGCCGGCUCGGCAUGGACCCCACCGAGGUGCGCAGCGAGGUCGAGCGUGCAGCGCGAGGCGGUUCGGCGCCGCAGCAGGCGCG
This 96-nucleotide transfer RNA is filed under the name Microbacterium oxydans. Its description in RNAcentral is "tRNA-Gly". Lineage: Bacteria; Bacillati; Actinomycetota; Actinomycetes; Micrococcales; Microbacteriaceae. The record is from RNAcentral.